Molecule: ribosomal RNA, 307 nt
Filed under: uncultured bacterium
Lineage: Bacteria
Description: partial 16S ribosomal RNA
Rfam family: Bacterial small subunit ribosomal RNA
Source: RNAcentral
AGACAGCAGUAGCCGCGGGAAUACGGAGGGGGCUAGCGUUGUUCGGAAUUACUGGGCGUAAAGCGCACGUAGGCGGCUUUGUAAGUCAGAGGUGAAAGCCCGGGGCUCAACCCCGGAAUUGCCUUUGAGACUGCAUCGCUUGAAUCCAGGAGAGGUGAGUGGAAUUCCGAGUGUAGAGGUGAAAUUCGUAGAUAUUCGGAAGAACACCAGUGGCGAAGGCGGCUCACUGGACUGGUAUUGACGCUGAGGUGCGAAAGCGUGGGGAGCAAACAGGAUUAGAUACCCCUGUAGUCCCUGUCUCUUAUAC